Molecule: long non-coding RNA, 377 nt
Organism: Drosophila mojavensis
Lineage: Eukaryota; Metazoa; Arthropoda; Insecta; Diptera; Drosophilidae
Exons: 2
Source: RefSeq, a predicted model, not a curated record
GGGUACUACCUACUGCAGAAUACUCCUUCACUGUCAAAACGCUACCAGAUCAAUUAUCUGGCUAUGCCCGUUUCAAGUUGUUUUAUGUAGAUGAGUGAAACUAACUGUAACAGUAUAGAAGAUAAAGGUUCUUUCGAUUCGACACGGUCCGGUAGCUGUAGAUAUAAUCGCAUUCCCGUAAAUAAUUGUAAUUUUACAGUAAUUUUUUUUAAAUUUUCUUAUUGUAUAUAAGGAUACAUACGCUUAGAUUGAAAUUGACUUUUUUCCGAAAGUAGAGCGAAUUCAGUUGUUAUUUUUUGCAAACCUGUAGAACACCUGUUCAAAUUAUCUUUGCGAUAUUUGAAGUAUCGUAGCUACGUGGCAACAUAAGGUGCUAA